GACGAACGCUGGCGGCGUGCUUAACACAUGCCAGUCGAACGGAAAGGCCCUGCUUUUGUGGGGUGCUCGAGUGGCGAACGGGUGAGUAACACGUGAGUAACCUGCCCUUGACUUUGGGAUAACUUCAGGAAACUGGGGCUAAUACCGGAUAGGAGCUCCUGCUGCAUGGUGGGGGUUGGAAAGUUUCGGCGGUUGGGGAUGGACUCGCGGCUUAUCAGCUUGUUGGUGGGGUAGUGGCUUACCAAGGCUUUGACGGGUAGCCGGCCUGAGAGGGUGACCGGCCACAUUGGGACUGAGAUACGGCCCAGACUCCUACGGGAGGCAGCAGUGGGAAUAUUGCACAAAGGGGGGAAGCCCGAUGCAGCAACGCCGGGGGCGGGAAUGCGGGCUUCGGGGUGGAAACCGCUUUCGCCUGGGACGGAGCGGGGGUGACGGGAAUGGGUAAAGAAGCACCGGCUAACUACGUG
This 467-nucleotide ribosomal RNA is filed under the name uncultured bacterium. RNAcentral describes it as "partial 16S ribosomal RNA". It matches the Rfam family "Bacterial small subunit ribosomal RNA", at positions 28 to 507 of the family's 1533-position model. The record is from RNAcentral.